AUGCCCCUACGGGAGGCAGCAGUGAGGAAUAUUGGUCAAUGGCCGGAAGGCUGAACCAGCCACGUCGCGUGAGGGAAUAAGGCCCUAUGGGUCGUAAACCUCUUUUGUCGGGGAGCAAAGGCGUCCACGUGUGGACGAGAGGAGAGUACCUGAAGAAAAGCAUCGGCUAACUCCGUGCCAGCAGCCGCGGUAAUACGGAGGAUGCGAGCGUUAUCCGGAUUUAUCGGGUUUAAAGGGUGCGCAGGCGGGCUGUUAAGCCGGCGGUAAAAAUUCAGGGCUCAACCCUGUCGAGCCGUCGG
Molecule: ribosomal RNA, 299 nt
Filed under: uncultured bacterium
Lineage: Bacteria
Description: partial 16S ribosomal RNA
Rfam family: Bacterial small subunit ribosomal RNA
Source: RNAcentral